This 406-nucleotide ribosomal RNA is filed under the name uncultured bacterium. RNAcentral's name for it is "partial 16S ribosomal RNA". It matches the Rfam family "Bacterial small subunit ribosomal RNA", at positions 30 to 526 of the family's 1533-position model. The record is from RNAcentral.
AUUGAACGCUAGCGGGAUGCCUUACACAUGCAAGUCGAACGAGUGGCGGACGGGUGAGUAAUAUAUGGGAACCUGCCCGGUAGCGGGGGAUAACUACUCGAAACAGUGGCUAAUACCGCAUACCAUCGGAUCUGCCGAGAUCGGAUUAGCUAGUUGGUGGGGUAAAGGCUCACCAAGGCGACGAUCCGUAGCUGGUUUGAGAGGACGACCAGCCACACUGGGACUGAGACACGGCCCAGACUCCUACGGGAGGCAGCAGUGGGGAAUAUUGGACAAUGGGCGAAAGCCUGAUCCAGCCAUGCCGCGUGUAUGAAGAAGGCCUUCGGGUUGUAAAGUACUUUCAGCGGGGAGGCGUUAUCCGCAGAAGAAGCACCGGCUAACUCCGUGCCAGCAGCCGCGGUAAUUC